CCGUGUUCCCUUACCCACGCACGAGCAACGGAUGCGUCUCAAAAGAAGUACUGUGCAGAUUUCUGUGAGGCAUGCAGAAAGAGAGUCAACGAAGUUCUUGAAGAUGCUGAUACGGAUGUGGAGUUCUAAUGAUUUAGUGUCAUGGCCAGCUGCAGUACGUUUUCAGUGCAACCUCAAACAGCCAAUGAGAGGUCAGUAUCUGGAUCACGUAUAAUAACAUCAAGUAUGGCUGACAUUCAGGCCAAGAGUGAUGUCUCAAGCAAUGAAAAUAAUGAAGAAACAGU
Schistocerca cancellata (South American locust) is the source of this 284-nucleotide long non-coding RNA. RefSeq lists it as uncharacterized. NCBI's taxonomy places the organism in Eukaryota, Metazoa, Arthropoda, Insecta, Orthoptera, Acrididae. The record is from RefSeq and is a predicted model, not a curated record. The transcript has 3 exons.